Molecule: ribosomal RNA, 285 nt
Filed under: Bacillus sp. (in: firmicutes)
Lineage: Bacteria; Bacillati; Bacillota; Bacilli; Caryophanales; Bacillaceae
Description: Bacillus sp. (in: Bacteria) partial 16S ribosomal RNA
Rfam family: Bacterial small subunit ribosomal RNA
Source: RNAcentral
CGCCGAAGGAUGAGUGCUAGUGUUAGAGGGUUUCCGCCCUUUAGUGCUGAAGUUAACGCAUUAAGCACUCCGCCUGGGGAGUACGGCCGCAAGGCUGAAACUCAAAGGAAUUGACGGGGGCCCGCACAAGCGGUGGAGCAUGUGGUUUAAUUCGAAGCAACGCGAAGAACCUUACCAGGUCUUGACAUCCUCUGAAAACCCUAGAGAUAGGGCUUCUCCUUCGGGAGCAGAGUGACAGGUGCUGCAUGGUUGUCGUCAACUCCUGUCUUGAGAUGUUGUUUUCAG